RNAcentral lists this ribosomal RNA (486 nucleotides) under uncultured bacterium. Its description in RNAcentral is "bacterial SSU rRNA". It matches the Rfam family "Bacterial small subunit ribosomal RNA", at positions 29 to 507 of the family's 1533-position model. The record is from RNAcentral.
AUGAACGCUAGCGGCAGGCCUAACACAUGCAAGGUCGAGGGGCAUCGCGGUGCAGCAAUGCACUGGCGGCGACCGGCGUACGGGUGCGUAACGCGUAUGCAACCUGCCCCGCACCGGGGGAUAGCCCGCCGAAAGGCGGAUUAAUAUUCCAUAGUCCAGCUAUAUCGCAUGGUAUAGUUGGUAAAGAUUUAUCGGCACAAGUUUGGCAUGCGUCUGAUUAGCUUGUUGGUAGGGUAACGGCCUACCAAGGCUACGAUCAGUAGGGGUUCUGAGAGGAUUAACCCCCACACUGGUACUGAGACACGGACCAGACUCCUACGGGAGGCAGCAGUGAGGAAUAUUGGUCAAUGGGCGGAAGCCUGAACCAGCCAUCCCGCGUGAAGGAAGACAGCCUUACGGGUUGUAAACUUCUUUUCUGUCAGAAGAAUAAGCUUGUCGAGACGAGUGAUGCCGGUAUGACAGGAAUAAGCAUCGGCUAACUCCGUG